This 645-nucleotide ribosomal RNA is filed under the name uncultured bacterium. Its description in RNAcentral is "bacterial SSU rRNA". It matches the Rfam family "Bacterial small subunit ribosomal RNA", at positions 110 to 753 of the family's 1533-position model. The record is from RNAcentral.
GUAACGCGUACGAAACCUACCUUUAAGAGAGGAAUAGCCCUGGGAAACUGGGAGUAAUGCCUCAUAGUAUUCAUUUACCGCAUGGUUUAUGGAUUAAAGCUACGGCGCUUAAAGAUGGUCGUGCGUCUGAUUAGCUAGUUGGUAGGGUAACGGCCUACCAAGGCUACGAUCAGUAGGGGGCGUGAGAGCGUGGCCCCCCACACGGGUACUGAGACACGGACCCGACUCCUACGGGAGGCAGCAGUAAGGAAUAUUGGGCAAUGGACGCAAGUCUGACCCAGCCAUCCCGCGUGCAGGACGAAUGCCCUAUGGGUUGUAAACUGCUUUUGUUUGGGAAGAAAUGUAUUCUUUUAAGAGUAUUUGACGGUACCAGACGAAUAAGCACCGGCUAACUCCGUGCCAGCAGCCGCGGUAAUACGGAGGGUGCAAGCGUUAUCCGGAAUCACUGGGUUUAAAGGGUGCGUAGGCGGCCAGAUAAGUCAGAGGUGAAAGUUUCCGGCUCAACCGGGAGAUUGCCUUUGAUACUGUUUGGCUUGAAUCAGAUUGAGGUUGGCGGAAUGUGACAUGUAGCGGUGAAAUGCAUAGAUAUGUCAUAGAACAUCGAUUGCGAAGGCAGCUGGCUGGAUCUGUAUUGACGCUGAGGCA